UACUUGAAGAGAUGUGUCGGGUUCUAUAUACACAUAUUAGUUUCAUCUUCGAACGCAUAUAUAUCCGUUACUUGAAGAAAAAAUAUUCGUUUUUAAAACACGGGGCGCUGCAUAUCCAAUAAGCGGAGAAAAAGUGUCCGUCUUGAAACACGGACACUGCAUAUCCAAUAGCGGAGGAAAAGAAACAACAGGGAUUGCCCUAGUAACGGCGAGUGAAGCGGCAAUAGCUCAAAUUUGAAAUCUGGCUUUGGCCCGAGUUGUAAGUUGCAGAGGAAGUUUCUGGCAAGGCGCCUUCUGAGUCCACUGGAACGUGGCGCCCUAGAGGGUGAGAGCCCCGUAUAGUUGGAUGCCAAGCCUGUGUGAAGCUCCUUCGACGAGUCGAGUAGUUUGGGAAUGCUGCUCUAAAUGGGAGGUAAAUUCCUUCUAAAGCUAAAUAUGGGCCCGAGACCGAUAGCGCACAAGUAGAGUGAUCGAAAGAUGAAAAGUACUUUGAAAAAGAGAGUCAAAUAGCACGUGAAAUUGUUGAAAGAGAAGGAUUUGUGACCAGACUUGUGCUGCGCGGAUCUCCCGGUGUUCUCACCGGUGUACUCCGCGCGGUUCAGGCCAGCAUCGGUUUCCGAUGGGGGACAAAAGCAGUGGGAACGUAGCUCCCACGGGAGCGUUAUAUGCCCGCCGCAUGAAUACCCCAUUGGGGACUCGAGGCCCGCGUUUUCACGGAUGCUGCCAUAAUGGUGACUAAUCACCCGUCUUGACCCCCGGAACCACUUUUCCUCGAUUAUUGGUGUCCAUCCCCCGUCUUGAAACACGGAACACUUGUGCUUGAAUAACCGUCUUUGUAUCCUUCGAUCUAAGAAGGAGGUACCAUUGGUGAGAU
Molecule: ribosomal RNA, 874 nt
Filed under: Telimena bicincta
Lineage: Eukaryota; Fungi; Ascomycota; Sordariomycetes; Phyllachorales; Telimenaceae
Description: eukaryotic LSU rRNA
Rfam family: Eukaryotic large subunit ribosomal RNA (bases 156-759)
Source: RNAcentral